Molecule: ribosomal RNA, 419 nt
Filed under: bacterium
Lineage: Bacteria
Description: partial 16S ribosomal RNA
Rfam family: Bacterial small subunit ribosomal RNA
Source: RNAcentral
UGGGGGAUAUUGCACAAUGGGCGAAAGCCUGAUGCAGCGACGCCGCGUGGGGGAUGAAGGCCUUCGGGUUGUAAACUUCUUUUGCUCUGAACAAGGCGCACCAUGGGGUGUGUUGAGUGUAGGGGUUGAUUAGCGCCGGCUAACUACGUGCCAGCAGCCGCGGUAAUACGUAGGGCGCGAGCGUUGUCCGGAAUUAUUGGGAGUAAAGGGCUUGUAGGUGGCUGGUUGCGUCUGUCGUGAAAGCUCAUGGCUUAACUGUGGGUUUGCGGUGGGUACGGGCUGGCUUGAGUGCAGUAGGGGAGGCUGGAAUUCCUGGUGUAGCGGUGGAAUGCGCAGAUAUCAGGAGGAAUACCGGUGGCGAAGGCGGGUCUCUGGGCUGUUACUGACACUGAGGAGCGAAAGCAUGGGGAGCGAACAGG